RNAcentral lists this ribosomal RNA (329 nucleotides) under uncultured eukaryote. RNAcentral describes it as "partial 18S ribosomal RNA". It matches the Rfam family "Eukaryotic small subunit ribosomal RNA", at positions 1470 to 1796 of the family's 1831-position model. The record is from RNAcentral.
CCCUUAGAUGUUCUGGGCCGCACGCGCGCUACAAUGAUGAAUUCAACGAGUUUAUAACCUUGGUUGAAAAGACUGGGUAAUCUUUUGAACUUUCGUCGUGAUGGGGCUAGACCCUUGCAAUUAUUGGUCUCCAACGAGGAAUUCCUAGUAAACGCAAGUCAUCAGCUUGCAUUGAUUACGUCCCUGCCCUUUGUACACACCGCCCGUCGCACCUACCGAUUGAAUGGUCCGGUGAAAUCUUCGGAUUGAGACUUUGAUUUCUUCACGGAAAACGCUGUUUUAAAAAGUUGAUUAAACCUUACCAUUUAGAGGAAGGUGAAGUCGUAACA